Molecule: ribosomal RNA, 318 nt
Filed under: Clostridioides difficile
Lineage: Bacteria; Bacillati; Bacillota; Clostridia; Peptostreptococcales; Peptostreptococcaceae
Description: partial 16S ribosomal RNA
Rfam family: Bacterial small subunit ribosomal RNA
Source: RNAcentral
UGCUACAUUGGGAAGCUCUGUGGGUUGCCAAGCCGUAAGUUGAAGCUAAUACCUUAAAGCUACUCUCAGUUCGGAUUGUAGGCUGAAACUCGCCUACAUUCAGCUGGUGUUACUAGUAGUCGCAGAUUAGAGCGCUGCCGAGAAUGCGUUCCAGGGUAUUGUACACACCGCCCGUCACACCACGGGAGUUGGAGACGCCCGAAGCCGAUUAUCUAACCUUUUGGAAGAAGUCGUCGAAGGUGGAAUCAAUAACUGGGGUGAAGUCGUAACAAGGUAGCCGUAUCGGAAGGUGCGGCUGGAUCACCUCCUUUCUAAGGA